UGUUCCUCUGGCUGUGUGUCACCUUAAUCCUACCAGGCAGAGCUUGUGGUCCUGCAGAGCCUGCCUGCUCACUGCUGCCCCCCCUCCGACUGAGGAUGGAAUGGACAUAUGAUGGUGCUGGUGAGGAAGCCGCCAUUUCUCCCAUUUUCAAAUUGGAGCACCUGGAGGAAAAAAGAGUGAUCUCUGUUUAGGGCAUUCCUUGUAGACUCCUCUGGGAUUUAGUUAUUUUCUUGGAGCAACAGAGGGAAGAAUUCACCAAGGUCACCAAUGGGAAUUUAACUGGGGUCUUCCCACCAGGUCAGUUGCCCCUGUCAGAGCAACUCCUUGUCUUUAUACCCACUAUGGCCUCCAAUUCACAGAAUCCUAGAAUCCUAGAAUUUGGUUGGAAGGAACAUUAAAGAUCAACUAAUUCCAACAUGGGCAAGGGCACCUUCCACUGCCAUGGGCAAGAAUACCUUCCACUAGACCAGGUUGCUCCAAGCUCUGUCCAACCUGGCCUUGAACACUUCCAGGAAUGGGGCAGCCACAGCUUCUCUGGGCAACCUGUGCCAGACCCUCAUCACCCUCACAGAGGCCCCCUUUAAGUGUUCUUCUCUACAUGAGCCAGCUUCAGAGAGCAGACAAGUGGCAGAAUACACAGGGUAGCACCCUAAAGCCUGAAGGUGAAGCAAGGGAAGAGAAGGACUGGUGUGGGAUAGUUCAAAAUUCACAGCACUGAAGAAUUCAAGGAGAAGUUCUCUCCUAUUACAGAAGCACCCAGGAGGAUGAGAAGACAAACAGCAAAGCCAAGAAAAGGAAACAUAUUCUGAACACGUGUGACACUGAUUAUUACCUGGCAUAGAACAGCAAAUAUGCUUGCUGCCCCAGAACUGUGUGGGUGUCACAACUAUCCACAGACUCAUCGUCCAUCUUGUACCACAGUCCAUUGCUGGCCUGCAAAGAAAGGCAUACAUCUGGAGAGGAACUCCAGGGUUUUUCCACAACGCCACAGGCAGAAAACUGCAGAACCAAGAGUACACUAAAACAAAUCCAAUCCACUCCCAAAGGAGAGCUUCUCCCCCAAAACCCUGGCUGCCAGUAACACCGCUUGGAAAGUUUGUCUUCCCCAGCACAAAUUUUUCCUUGUCAGGAGGAAUGUCUUUACCUUCGUGUAGCAGAAAAAGUGUCCUUCAAGACAGGUGUCACCACUGUGCACCACGAUGGCAUAUAAGGAGCAGAGGAGGGGUUCUCCAGCUGUGUCAGACAUGUAUGGCCGAAGAUCCAAGUACUCAGGAUAGUCCACAAACUACAGAGAGACCAAGAGGGCUCAGAAAUGAUCCUGAGCUACCACACGAAAUAGCCUUCAAUAUGUAAUGAUUUAGGUGGCAGGAAACUGUUCUCAGCCAAAACAUCUCUGUCAGAGCAGAGUCCAGGCUUGUCUUCCCACAGGAAUUCUCUCCUCAGAAGGGAACGCAAAAAACUCAACAAGAGCAGCUUGUGACAGAGUGUCCUGCUUUGGGGAAUCUUCUGCUCCAGGAAGAGAAAGUUGGACUCCAGCUGUGUACACACCUUGCUGAUCUUCUUGCCAGUCCAUUGGUCAGCCCUUUCCAGACAUAAUGUGAGGACUCUGGGUGCUUGGUGGAUUGUGACCCUCUUGGAGGCAGCAACCUUCUUCUUACACCUUGAAACCAAGCACAGAACCGAGUGCUGAAAUGAACCUGAUCUUCCCCCAAGAAGACCAGAUAACCUUUUCUGUCUCACUCAUCCUUAUGCUAUUUUAAGGCUAUUCCGAGCCACAUUAAAAAAGCUGUGUCUCACUGUUGUGCAUUAAACCUCCAUGAGAUGAUUUCUGUUCGAUGACAUUCAACCUCCCCUCAUGCAGGAUCUGGUGUUAUUGUGUCAUCAGGAAUCAUCUUACUUGCUACAUUUGAAGCAUUCUUUCAGAUCCAGCUCCUUGGGUGUCACACAGUCCUCCAGAACUGUGGUGAGGGACGAGGCUGCCUGGAAGAGUGAGAAAGGAGCCGCUGAGCUUUGGGAAAUGCUCUCACCCAAACACUUCCCAGGAGCUGACAAGAAGACCCAGGCAGCUAACUCUGAGGAUACCCAUUGUAAACCUGCAGGCAUUGUCUGGGAGGAGGCAAAGAAAGAGGGUGUGAUGCUGAAUAUUUCCCUCAUGUUCCAGGGGCUCCCAGAGCCAUCAAGAGCUCCCUCUCUGUGCCACCACUCAGUUCAGCUACUGAUGUCAUGCAGGGGCAUCGGUAGGGAAAACAAUCCAACUCCAUCAGCCUGGGAGCCAGAAGGGUGUUGAGAGAGGGCAAAGGGAAGAAGGAGGAGAGUAUGUCAAGGGUGCAGAGGGGAUAAUGCUGCUUGUUCGGCCUAAAGCCAGCACCAUGGGGACACCAGUGUCAUGGCCUCUGCAGGAACGCAUGCAUUCCCCUUCCCACUCACCACCAAGCUCCCUUGUGCUUGCAGUGUAGGUUUUUAAGACAAACACUUUGAUUCUGGAAAGAUACAGGGGCCUUGGGGCACCUGUAGCACAAUUGUGAACCCUCUUACUCUGAUAUCCAAAGAGAUAUCCAGGAAGGCCUUGUAGGAGUCAGUAACUGCUUGGCAGCUCAAGCAUGUGACUGGAAAGAAAAUCAAAAUGCUGGGUUAGUUGACUGUGCCAGUGUAUGCUUAGGUUACCUACUAUGCCAAUCCCAGGACCAGCUAUUUGUCACAGGCAGACAGAAGGGCACAGACAAUGUGAAAGGAAUAGCUGUGGAAACAUACCUCUGGAUCUCAUAAAGCCCCCAAAUAUUUGAUGGACAAUGGUAGUUUCUUGUGAAGAGAUGUCCGAGCUGGAAAUAAAAAUAAAUGGCAAGGAAGAGAGUUACCUCCUCCAAGAGUCCAAGUUGAAGGCCCUGGACAUCAGUUUUCCUUGAUGGGAGCACAUCAAGGAGUCCAACAGGUUCGGGAACAUUGAAAAGGUAAUUUGCUUGUGCUUACUCGCUGCUGCCACUCAGACAAGCUCUCUGCAUGGCAUUGAGAGCACAGCGUAAGAACUCGUAGGCGUUUUCCUGCCUGCCAUACUCAAAUUCUUCUCCUAUGACUAAGAAAGAAGAAGUUAGUAGCUCUCCCCUAAAGGGAACAAAAAGAAGAAAGCCUGUUGAAGCACCUGAAACAACUUACAUUUGAGGUCCCUGAGGACAGCCCCAGGCAGGAUGGCACUGGCUGAGGAAUGCAGGACCUUCCUAAUGUGCACUUCCAUGACGCACAUCAUGCAGAAGCCUUGCUGUUGACCUGAAGAGGUGCAUUGUGCUGGCAGCGCCCACAACACUGGGCAUCGCCACUCAUCAAUACCAACCUAGAGACUGUGUGUACCUCGAAAUCUGCCCUGAAGAACCUCUCUGAGAAGGGUGGAAAGGAGUGUAUCGAGUGCCGCUAACAGUCAAUAUUGCUGUGAAGGUGCAAGGAGUAUAUUCUUGGAUCCAUUCCAGAUGAAUCAAGCCAAAGCCAGCAUCAGAAUGAACUGCCAAAGCAACUGGACCCACACCCCAGAACAGACUGGAGACAGGGGCAAUGGGUACUGUGCAGAUCCAAAACAUUGGCACAUGCUAGCUAUGGAGCAUGUGGAGUUUCCAUCCUUGGAGAUGCUCCAUAGCCCUCUGGGCAUGGUCAUGGACAAGUGCCUCCAGGUGGCCUUGCUCAAGAAGAGGGGGUGGGACCACCUCAGUGAUUUCAUCCUCCAGCCUUAAGGUGCCAGUGAUUCUGUGGAAUGGAUGUCUAGAACACAAUCCAGCCAUCAACACUGCCGCGGUUCGCUCAGAUGGAAUGAGACAGCAAACUUCUGGCGUUCAGGUGAAAAGGUUUUAUUGAACUCCCAACACAAAAUGGCUCCCACCUUAUAUAGGGCAGAGAGCAAACCCUCUGGAAGGAGGGUGGAGUUAGGGAGGAGCAAGGGCAGAGUGUGUAAAUUAAUGGGAUGGCAAAACCAUAUAGGGAAAAGGGCUGCACUGCAGCUAAAACAAACCAAAAGGAAGGUAGGGUUUAGGAACAUGAGGGAUGAGGGAAAGUACUGGAAAACUGGGGUACAAUAAUGAGGGGAAUAUUACAAUAAAUAAAGAAAACACAGUGUUAAACCCAAAACACAUUCUAAAACAAUCCAUAAAAGUCCAUGUUUGCUUCCAAAGUGUAUCCUUUAUUGAGAGGCGAUGCUUUCCUCAUUGUCCACCUCCAACACAACACUGUUCCCCUAAGAUAGCCAUUAACAGCUCCACCAGAAGGCUGGAGACUUUGGAGAGCCCAGUCUGGAACAGGCUUCUGGCAGGAGCUAUGCCCCCUGCAGAGCAGCCAUGAGGGUCACUGGCCCCUUAAAAAGGCAGCUAUGGGACCUAAAAGUGAAUGUUUGGUCCCCAAAAAUGGAGGCUUCACAGAAUCCUAGAAUUUGGUCAGAGGAGCCUUAAAGAUCAACCUCCCUGCCAAAGGCAGGGACACCUUCCACUAGGCCAGGUUGCUCCAAGCCCUGUCCAACCUGGGCUUGAACACUUUCAGGGAUGGGGCAGCAACAACUUCUCUGGACAACCUGUGCCAGGGCCUCACCACCUCACAGGAAAGAAUUCCUUCCCAAAAUCUCAUCUAACCCUCCCUUCUGUCAGUGUGAAACCACUCCCUCUUGUCCUGUCUCUCCAGGCCCUUGUCCAAAGUCCCUCUCCAGCUCUCUUGGAGCCCUUUCAGAGUUAGAAUAUUCUUGAAAGGUCUCCCUAGAGCCUUCUCCAGGCUGGAAAACCAAAACUCUCUAACUCUAUCUUCAUAGGAGAGGUGCUCCAGCCCUCAGAACAUCUUCAUUUUCUUGAACUAACAAGCCUAGAAGCAAAGAUUGCUUUGAAUCCUCCAGAUAAGGGUUUGGACACUCAAGGUGUGGCUUAGACCCUAAAAAUGCCUGGCUGGAUUGUAAAAAUGCCAGUUUGGGAAGUGAAAGGAGACUCCAAGAGAAACAACACAGCUUUGGACUCUCAAAAAGAGCAUUUGCAAACUGAAAUGAAUCCUUUGGACACUAAAUAUGAGGUUUUGUAGACUAAAAAGAGCUGAUUUGCAAGCCAACACUAAGCCUUUGUGAAGGAAACAUGAGGCUUAGGACCCUCUCAAUGUACAUUUGGACACUUAAUGACAGCUUUGGCUCUGAAAAAUGAGGGUUUGGACCCUCCAAAUCAAAAUGUGUACCCUAAAAAUAUCUGUAGGUAAUACAAAACAUGUUGGGAGCCUAGAAAUGAGGAUUUGGGCCCCAAAAUGGAGGCUUAGGGACAAAAACAAAAAGAAGCAUUGACCUUGUGGACCCUGCUAAGGAGGUGAAUCUACUUGUUUCACUCUGACCCCAAGAAAUGAAACUUUGGUGCUGACUAGAAGGCUUCAGGCACUCCAGUGGAAGCUUUGAGCUGUAAAAGAGGCUUUGGACCCUCCAAAAGAGGACUUAGAUCUUUAAACUGGCGCUUUGGACAUGAAGAGGAAAGUUUGAACCCUGAAGUUAUGUUUUGUGGCCUCAAAGGAUGCUUCAUUUCAUUAAAACAAACUAAGGCUUUGCCUCCCUAAAAAUGGAUCUUUGGGGAUUAAAAGAAGGUUUUGACCCCACCAAAUUGCAGACUGAAUCCUAAAGUGGAGGCUUUGGUCCCUUGCUGGGGGCUUUGGAAGCUAAAAUGAAAGUUCAGGCCUAAAAAAACCUUUGAAUUUUACAAAUGAGGCUUUGGACCUUUGCAAUCAGACUUUGGGUCUUCAAAAUGACUCUCUGAGCCCUUCAGAUUAGCCUGAACAGCCCUCAGAACUUAAAAAUGUGUCUUUGUGCCUUAACAAGGGGGGUUGGAUUCAAAUCAAGAGGUUUUGCAACCUAAAAAGAAAACUAUGUGUCCUAACAAAAGACUAUGGGUAAUAAAACACAGGCUCGGACCCUACAAAUGAGGGUUUUGGCCCUGAAAAUGUGACUUUACAUCACAGAAGUGGGUCUUUGGAUGCUCCAAAUGAGGCUUUAGACCUGAAGAACAUGAGGCUAGGAGCCCUCAGUGAGAAGUUUGUACCCUGAAAUGAGGCUUUGUCCGUAAGCAGGCAGGUUUCAAGGCUAGAGGGAAAGCUUUGAGCUCUAAACAUUAGGAUUUGGGCUGUAAGAGAGAGUCUUUGGGGCUCAGAGGUAUUUUAUAACUCUCAGAAAUUGUCUGAAAGGAGCUUGUAGCAAGAUGCGGUCAGCCUCUUCUCCCAAGUAACAAACAACAGGACAAGAGAAAACAUCCUCAUGUUGCAUCUGGGAAGGUUUAGAUUGACUAUUCAGAAAAAUUUCUUCACUGAAAGGGUGUUCAGGCAUUGGAACAGGCUACUUGGGGAAGUGGUGGAGUCACCAUCCUUAGAUGUGUUCAAAAAGAGUGCAGAUAUGGCACUUGGGGUCGAGGUUUGCUGGUGAACAUGGUGAUGUUGGGUUAACGGUUGGUCAUGAUCUCAGAGCCCUUUUCUAACCUUAACGGUCCUAUGAUUCCAUGAUUCUCUGAUAAGAAGCCAUUCCUUCUGUUGAGUUCCGUGGCAACAAACAAAGAAAUUGUUGUUAGGGAAGGGUUUCACGUCAGCCUGCACUGAGACCAUAUCAAGCACUCUUGGGGUCCAUUAUUAGGGUCACGCAGAGGAAGAUAAUAGUUGGAGGUUUAAAAGAAGGCUAUGAGCUUGCCAACUUGCAGACUAAAUCCUAAAAAGGAGGCUUCAUUCUCUGAGAAGGGGGCUUUGGAAGCUAAAAAGACAAUUUAGACUUGAAAAUGACACUUUGGACUCUCUAAAGAAGGCUUUGGACUCUACAAAUGAAACUUUGGACCUUCCAAAUCAAACUUUCAAAAUGAUGCUCUGGGGCACAUGAGUCUUUGAACCAAAAUCAACAGUCAGUGGGGAAUCAGUGGUUGCCUCUGAAUUCCGGCAUUCUGCCCUGAACCUCCCAUUGUCCCACCAGGCAAAAAGGGAGAUAAAAAUCCUGUAAAACUCCUCCAUUAUCCAGACCCACCUGGAUUAGUUAUCUCACCCUCUGAGGAUGUCAUAGGUUUGAAAAGAGAUGUUGGAAUUUUUUCCCAAAUGCCCUCACUGCCCCCCUCCCCCAUCUGUUUCUUCCAGGAUGGGGGGGGAAUGGAGCGAAGCCGUAUGUCCUGGGCAGCACAGGAGAGGGGGAGGGGGAGCGCUCUCAGGAAACAGAGGUUGCCGCAGGGACGGUUGGGCCUCAGUUGUUCGGGGGGUUUUGGGGGUUUUGUCUGCAGACCGGACAGAGCAGGAGCCUGGUUUUGGCACCUCUUUUUCUUUUCCUGAGAGGAAGAUUUUUUUCCCCAUAGGGCAUCUCCUGGAGAAUGACUGAGAGAGAGAGAGACCGACACAUCUCAGAGCGAGGUAUUCUGCUUUCAAGACUGCCUGUGGGGAAAAAGGACUUUUUCAUUGCUGGCGAGCAUAUGUGGCUGUGAGCAGCUUUUGAACUGCCAGGACAGUCCUGCCUUCCCCCCACCCUCCCUGGGCUGCCGUGGGUUUCUCCCCCCCCACCCACCUGGGGAAUUGGGACUUUGUUUUGUUUCUUCUGAAAGUUUUUGAUUGCACCAUUUGUUGUUUACUUGGAUUUUGUUAAUAAAAAAGCUGUUUCUUCUCCUUUUCCACACUUCCACCUGAAAUUCUCUAAUUUCUAAGUUGUAAUCUUGUUAAACUAAGACAGUGGGGCAGGUGCAACCCACUCUUAAAACCGCGGGCAGACCUUGGGGAGCUACUGAUGCUCCUGGGAAGGACCAGCCAACCAACACUGCAGGGAGUUUUCCUUCUUUUUAAUAAUUGUUCUGUAAUAGGCCGAAUUUUUUCUGUUCUUUCAUAGGAAUCUGCCCACACACAAGAUCAAAUUAUGUGGGAUUGAUGAAAUUGCCCCAUAAUUAUCAGUUAAUUAAUUUCUGUGAUUUGUUUGUGUUUUUAUCAUGAGCAACUUGCUGGGAGACCAAACAUUAGUAGGAUUAUAUGAAGCAGAUAAUUUUAUGUAUUCUUUAAGUUUACUUUUUUUUUUUUACUGGAAAAAAAAAGAUGUGGGAAAAGCUUUUUAGUUUUAUCUUAUGGAUGUAUAAUUUUGUCUCAAUCAAUUGAUAAUCAGAGAAUUCAACCAAGUUUAGCCUGAGAGUUGGUACAAGGAUUUAUGCAGAUUUGGAAUCAUACAAAUAUGUAUUGACCUUCCCAGUUCUGCCUCAGAAGGCUUUAUAUUUAUGAUGAUUGGGUUAAAUUUUUCUCAGAUAUCAAUGAGUGAACUGAAUAAUCUUAACAAAACAAAAGCAAAUGUUUCAUGAGAAAGAGGUGAGUCCCUGGUCCUAGAGCAGAAGGAGGCACAGCCAUGUAGGAAAUGAAUAAGAUAGUUUUAUUACAAGCAGGGGUUUCCAUGGUUGCCUCGUGCUGAGACACUUGGAAACCGUUUUAUCUGGGGAGUUGGGGAGCCAUUUGGUGGCCGAGGACUGGUGGGCUGCUUACUGUUCUGCUUACAGUUACCUAUUGCUUCUUACUGUUCUGCUUACAGGGUUGCUUACAGUUACUUACUGUUGCUUACAGUUACUUACUGUUACUUACAGUUACGGUGUGAAGGCGGCCGGAAAGUAUGUAAGGCAGUAAGACUAGUCUGGGCUCACUGCCAUGGGACCAUGCGGUUGGGGGCAGGGAAACAACUUCAUAGGUUGGUUAAAACAACCAAUGGACUGCAAGAAGAAGACUGUAUCACCUUUUAAGGAAGAAAAGAGCAAGGCUUGGCAUGGGAGGAGUGAGGGAGUGGUUAUGUAAAUCAAAGGGUCUUAAAAGGGCUCGUCCCUCUCGUUCGGGUGUGCUUGGACCUGGUCAUGAGUCCAGUGCACCCAGCACGCUGUUAAUAAAGUUCUUUGUUUCACUUUAUUUGGCCGUCUCUGAAAUUUUAAUUAGAGAUAUUUCUCACAGCCAUGGACCACAA
Molecule: long non-coding RNA, 8926 nt
Organism: Pseudopipra pipra
Lineage: Eukaryota; Metazoa; Chordata; Aves; Passeriformes; Pipridae
Exons: 3
Source: RefSeq, a predicted model, not a curated record